CUCUAGAUAACUUUAUAAGUUUAGGUCUUUUAAACCUAAUAAAGUAGCUAUAACCUACUUCUAGUGA
Molecule: transfer RNA, 67 nt
Filed under: Cherax cainii
Lineage: Eukaryota; Metazoa; Arthropoda; Malacostraca; Decapoda; Parastacidae
Description: tRNA-Lys
Source: RNAcentral